This 664-nucleotide ribosomal RNA is filed under the name uncultured bacterium. RNAcentral describes it as "bacterial SSU rRNA". It matches the Rfam family "Bacterial small subunit ribosomal RNA", at positions 705 to 1369 of the family's 1533-position model. The record is from RNAcentral.
AACACCGAUGGCGAAGGCAGCCCCCUGGGCCUGUACUGACGCUCAUGCACGAAAGCGUGGGGAGCAAACAGGACUAGAUACCCUGGUAGUCCACGCCCUAAACGAUGUCGACUAGUCGUUCGGAGCAGCAAUGCACUGAGUGACGCAGCUAACGCGUGAAGUCGACCGCCUGGGGAGUACGGCCGCAAGGUUAAAACUCAAAGGAAUUGACGGGGACCCGCACAAGCGGUGGAUGAUGUGGAUUAAUUCGAUGCAACGCGAAAAACCCUACCUACCCUUGACAUGUCUGGAACCUUGGUGAGAGCCGAGGGUGCCUUCGGGAGCCAGAACACAGGUGCUGCAUGGCUGUCGUCAGCUCGUGUCGUGAGAUGUUGGGUUAAGUCCCGCAACGAGCGCAACCCUUGUCACUAGUUGCCAUCAUUUAGUUGGGCACUCUAGUGAGACUGCCGGUGACAAACCGGAGGAAGGUGGGGAUGACGUCAAGUCCUCAUGGCCCUUAUGGGUAGGGCUUCACACGUCAUACAAUGGUCGGUACAGAGGGUUGCCAAGCCGCGAGGUGGAGCCAAUCCCUUAAAGCCGAUCGUAGUCCGGAUCGUAGUCUGCAACUCGGCUACGUGAAGUCGGAAUCGCUAGUAAUCGGAGAUCAGCAUGCUGCGGUGAAUAC